This 502-nucleotide ribosomal RNA is filed under the name uncultured bacterium. RNAcentral's name for it is "partial 16S ribosomal RNA". It matches the Rfam family "Bacterial small subunit ribosomal RNA", at positions 29 to 507 of the family's 1533-position model. The record is from RNAcentral.
AGCGAACGCUGGCGGCGUGCCUAACACAUGCAAGUCGAACGUGAAAGGGAGCAAUCCCAAGUAAAGUGGCGUACGGGUGAGUAACACGUAGGUAAUCUACCCCAGAAUCUGGAAUAACCGGCCGAAAGGCUGGCUAAUACUGGAUAGAGCGACGGAAUCCGUAAUUGGGUUUUUCGGGAAAGGGAGCCUGUAAAAAGGCCUUCGUUCUGGGAUGAGCCUGCGUCCCAUCAGCUAGUUGGUGAGGUAAAAGCUUACCAAGGCUAUGACGGGUAGCUGGUCUGAGAGGACGAUCAGCCACACUGGAACUGAAACACGGUCCAGACUCCUACGGGAGGCAGCAGUGGGGAAUCUUGCGCAAUGGACGAAAGUCUGACGCAGCAACGCCGCGUGAGUGAAGAAGGCCUUCGGGUUGUAAAGCUCUGUCGAGUGGGACGAAAAUGCUUGGAGUUCACAGCUCCAGGAACUGACGGUACCACUAAAGGAAGCACCGGCUAACUCCGUG